GGGGAAUCUUCCGCAAUGGACGAAAGCCUGACGGAGCAACGCCGCGUGAGUGAUGACGGCCUUCGGGUUGUAAAGCUCUGUUAAUCGGGACGAAAGGUCUUCUUGCGAAUAGUUAGAAGAAUUGACGGUACCGGAAUAGAAAGCCACGGCUAACUACGUGCCAGCAGCCGCGGUAAUACGUAGGUGGCAAGCGUUGUCCGGAAUUAUUGGGCGUAAAGCGCGCGCAGGCGGAUCAGUCAGUCUGUCUUAAAAGUUCGGGGCUUAACCCCGUGAUGGGAUGGAAACUGCUGAUCUAGAGUAUCGGAGAGGAAAGUGGAAUUCCUAGUGUAGCGGUGAAAUGCGUAGAUAUUAGGAAGAACACCAGUGGCGAAGGCGACUUUCUGGACGAAAACUGACGCUGAGGCGCGAAAGCCAGGGGAGCGAACGGGAUUAGAUACCCCGGUAGUCCUGGCCGUAAACGAUGGGUACUAGGUGUAGGAGGUAUCGACCCCUUCUGUGCCGGAGUUAACGCAAUAAGUACCCCGCCUGGGGAGUACGACCGCAAGGUUG
This 549-nucleotide ribosomal RNA is filed under the name uncultured bacterium. Its description in RNAcentral is "bacterial SSU rRNA". It matches the Rfam family "Bacterial small subunit ribosomal RNA", at positions 356 to 896 of the family's 1533-position model. The record is from RNAcentral.